This 67-nucleotide ribosomal RNA is filed under the name uncultured Ascomycota. Its description in RNAcentral is "partial 5.8S ribosomal RNA". It matches the Rfam family "5.8S ribosomal RNA", at positions 49 to 115 of the family's 154-position model. Rfam says of the family: 5.8S ribosomal RNA (5.8S rRNA) is a component of the large subunit of the eukaryotic ribosome. It is transcribed by RNA polymerase I as part of the 45S precursor that also contains 18S and 28S rRNA. Functionally, it is thought that 5.8S rRNA may be involved in ribosome translocation. The record is from RNAcentral. Lineage: Eukaryota; Fungi; Ascomycota. RNAcentral also lists the same sequence under 5 other names.
CGAAAUGCGAUAAGUAAUGUGAAUUGCAGAAUUCAGUGAAUCAUCGAAUCUUUGAACGCACAUUGCG